UGAGUACGAGAUGCUACGGCAUCGAAGCAGUCUAUGUCAUACUUCCAAGAAAAGCUUGCACUGUCAUAAACAAAGAAUGCCUGUACCAUAACCGACACAGGUGGGUAGGUAGAGUAUACUAAGGGGCGCGAGAUAACUCUCUCUAAGGAACUCGGCAAAAUGACUCCGUAACUUCGGGAGAAGGAGUGCCUUAUUUCUAAGGUUGCAAUAACAAGAUCCAAGCAACUGUUUACCAAAAACACAGGUCUCCGCUAAGUCGUAAGACGAUGUAUGGGGGCUGACGCCUGCCCAGUGCCAGAAGGUUAAAGAAGUUGGUUAGCAUUAGCGAAGCUGAUAACUGAAGCCCUGGUGAACGGCGGCCGUAACGAUAACGGUCCUAAGGUAGCGAAAUUCCUUGUCGGGUAAGUUCCGACCCGCACGAAAGGCGUAAUGAUUUGGAUACUGUCUCGGAGAGGGGCUCGGUGAAAUAGACUUGUCUGUGAGGAUGCGGACUACCUGCACCUGGACAGAAAGACCCUAUGAAGCUUUACUGUAACUUGAGAUUGAAAUUGGACUUUAUUUGCGCAGUAUAGGUGGGAGGCGUCGAGAAUAAUCUUGCGGGAUUGUUGGAGCCAUCAGUGAGAUACCACUCUUGUAAUGUUAGAUUUCUAACUUUGUAUCAUUAUCUGGUCAAAGAACAGUUUCAGGCGGGCAGUUUGACUGGGGCGGUCGCCUCCCAAAGGGUAACGGAGGCGCACAAAGGUUUCCUCUGAACGGGUAGAAAUCGUAUCUAGAGUGUAAAGGCAUAAGGAAGCUUGACUGUGAGACCUACAAGUCGAGCAGGGACGAAAGUCGGUCUUAGUGAUCUGACGGUGCUGAGUGGAAAGGCCGUCACUCAACGGAUAAAAGUUACUCUAGGAUAACAGGCUGAUCUCCCCCAAGAGUUCACAUCGACGGGGAGGUUUGGCACCUCGAUGUCGGCUCAUCGCAUCCUGGGGCGGUAGUCCGUCCCAAGGGUUGGGCUGUUCGCCCAUGAAAGCGGUACGCGAGCUGGGUUCAGAACGUCGUGAGACAGUUCGGUCCAUAUCCGGUGUAGGCGUUAGAAUAUUGAGAGGAGCCUUCUCUAGUACGAGAGGACCGAGAAGGACAUACCUCUGGUGUACCAGUUAUCGUGCCAACGGUAAACGCUGGGUAGCUAUGUAUGGAGUGGAUACCGCUGAAAGCAUCUAAGUGGGAAGCCCACCUCAAGAUAAGUAUUCUU
This 1240-nucleotide ribosomal RNA is filed under the name metagenome. Its description in RNAcentral is "bacterial LSU rRNA". It matches the Rfam family "Bacterial large subunit ribosomal RNA", at positions 1564 to 2815 of the family's 2925-position model. The record is from RNAcentral.